Vulpes vulpes (red fox) is the source of this 129-nucleotide small nucleolar RNA. Ensembl annotates it as small nucleolar RNA, H/ACA box 30. Its record names the gene SNORA30. The record is from Ensembl. NCBI's taxonomy places the organism in Eukaryota, Metazoa, Chordata, Mammalia, Carnivora, Canidae.
CUAGCACUUUCACAGAUCCUCCCCCAGGCAGUGGGGCCAGGAUUUGGUAGCUGGUGCUGAAAGAAAACCCUUGAUUGCAUCCUUGCCCCGGGACCGUACCAGUGGCAGCUGUCACUCAGUGGAACAGAG